AAAAAUAAAAUAAAAGAAAUCAAGAAACAUUGGCG
This 35-nucleotide non-coding RNA is filed under the name Trypanosoma vivax. Lineage: Eukaryota; Euglenozoa; Kinetoplastea; Trypanosomatida; Trypanosomatidae. The record is from RNAcentral.